ACCCUAUGGCUAUGUACUAGUAAACAUGGUAGGCCUAAACAUGAACAACAUCAUUAUUCAUCGGCAGUUCAUUUUACUCCGAGCUUUUCCUGAAACAUAUAGCCAUGAUGAUUACUGCAGAUUAGGCCUACCAUGUACCAUGACCAAUAACAGCACUAGAUCAUGUGGAUGUCAACAAGUUCACAUGAACCGUAUAAUCCCGCAUAGCGCAUGUGGGGCAUGCGUCUAAACCAAAGCCCCAAAAUCACUUGUUUUGGUCUAUUUCAGUUUCACUUGUGUUUCCCCCGUCUCCCAGUCCAUAAUACAUUUACAGUUUACAAUCCCCGAUCAUGGCCCAACAAAAGGUCAUCGGUUGACUAAAGGAACACAACUGUUCAAUGGAUUUAUAGUUGAAUGCGAUCAAACUACGUCUUUUCAAUCGUGGAUUGUAAAUUUAACCCCAUGGGCCUAGGGAAGGCCCUAUAACAAUACUUUCGACACAGUUAUUAUCUCCGGUGCCUCCACCAUGUUACACACAGUGCUCACUGCUGAUUCUAAAAUGCGCCACCUAGUCAAAACAGGACAUAUGUUCUUCUAGGAAUAGAUCUCUUUCCAAUAUUUCGUCAUUCCACUAUCGUCAUCACCUCAUCAUACUUUCAUUGACAUUACAGGCACACAUCCACAGAGCACUCUUCAAAUCAUCUACACAGUGGUUAUCCAACUAGGAUUAUAAAGGCACACAUUGACAUUGACCACUGUUGCAGUCAACGACACAGUCGCUAUCCAAGUAGCAUUAUAGAGCUGUCAUGCAACGCAACAACUGUGCUAUCUGCCAUCGCACAUCAACGAAGAAGUGCAGCCGCCCACAUUCCACCUCACGUCUGUCCGACCAGCUGCAAUCCUCGAGGACGCCCCACUGUACCACGAUUUCACUACGAUGUUUGACAAGAAGGAGCAGUGCGCGAGAUAGGCUAAUGAGCAGACUUCCCUCGCUUGAGUUUCGGAAGAAUGUUCCAUAUCGCGCUAAGCUGACCACUGCUGACCAUGACAGGCGUGCAUUGGACUGGUACAGGUUGGAACUUAACAUUGAAUAUGCUGGUGGUGACGCUUUCUGAUGAGAAGUUGGUCGUGACUGAUGCAGUAUCCUUGGACUUGUCCACAGCAUCGUUCAAUCAUUGCUCUCUGAGCUGCCUUGAUUCUGUACUUACCCAAAUACUAAGACCAAAUGCCUGUUGACUGUGCUUUAAGAGAGACUGGCGCCAUGCCUAGAGAUAUGAUUGACCCCUAUUGGCAAAUUUGUAUGACUUUAUCUUGCCUACCUAGCUGCUGCCUAUAGUCUCCCUUUAACUGCGGAACACUUCAAAGUCGAUAAAAUGCCAUGUUCCACCUUUUAAUGUGUUCAGACCGCCAUUUUCAAAAUAAUCAAGUCAGGACACUGCCUUCUAGUCUCAUAAUAAAUUUUGCUUUCCUCAAUAAUAACAUUUCUUCUUCUUCAAUGCUUUCAUCAUUCCAAACUUCUCCUCCACUGACUUUUACAGGGGUACAGUCAUGGCAAUCAAAACCCAAAUACUGAGACCAAAUGCCUGUUGACUGUGCUUUAAGAGAGACUGGCGCCAUGCCUAG
Lineus longissimus is the source of this 1602-nucleotide long non-coding RNA. RefSeq lists it as uncharacterized. NCBI's taxonomy places the organism in Eukaryota, Metazoa, Nemertea, Pilidiophora, Heteronemertea, Lineidae. The transcript has 3 exons. The record is from RefSeq and is a predicted model, not a curated record.